This is a long non-coding RNA of Brachypodium distachyon (stiff brome), 6302 nucleotides long. RefSeq lists it as uncharacterized. Lineage: Eukaryota; Viridiplantae; Streptophyta; Magnoliopsida; Poales; Poaceae. The transcript is spliced from 6 exons. The record is from RefSeq and is a predicted model, not a curated record.
UCAGGCGACCGAAAACGAGCGGCUGAGUGUGGCUUCCGUUUUCACCGAGCGUCCAUGAGCGCCUGCCAUUGUUCAUCGAGUGCGAGCUUCCAUUACACAUCGACCUGCUCCAUCAUCCGCUGACCACCUUGAUGCCAUGCCCUGGUCACGACGUGGUGCCGCUGCUCAGGCCACCGCCAACCACAACAACCUCAUGUUGUUGCUCUAGCCGCUGGCCGCUCACCAAAUCACCAAAUUGGUAACUAAAAUGUGAAGCACAUGCUUCUGCUGCCGAUAAUGAUGCGCCGCCAACUUGCCAUGGUCAAGGUUACCACAAAGUUUGCAAUCAAAUUUGGAGCCGCUCUUGUUCAUAUUUGGAUCUGGAUGUGUGGUCAUGGUUUAUUACGGUUUACGUUUUCUCAACUUGACUGCGUGUUUUCCCUUUGACGUUUUCCAUCAGCCACAUGCUUCAAACUAGUUGAAACCAGAAAACAAUUUGGAUUCAUGCGCAAACAGACCCUUUCUCUUCUGCUCCGACCGCCUGUCUUCUUGCUGAGGUGUUCUUUUCGAGAGUUCUGGAAAGGGUGAGGAGGGGAGGCGAUUUCGAGACAGGCGAUCCCCUUGUCAGCUGCGAGAGUCGCGCGGGGCGCGCCACCUCCGUCUCGCUUGAUUUGACGAGGCGAAGGCAGCGAGGCACCGAGGAGGCCCGCGUGGUUUCGCAGUUCGUGGUCGGGGGGUUCUGCCGCUUCUUUUUUUUCGUGUGAGUUGUCCCAGUUCUCGAGAGGUUACUGCUUUCUCUUGUUGUACAGGGGUGGUUGCUGGAUUACCCACCACUGCAGCUGAUUUGUGGUUGGGGGACGGGGGGCAGGCAGUUUGGGGUGCUCAGAGUUUCUGUGUAGAACAUUGCAGGGGUACCGGCGGAUGUACCUGGGCAUCAAGCGACGCCGGAUCUGAUGGAGAGGGAUUUAGUUCAGAAUCCAUAUUUGAUUUCUCUAAUUAUGUUCCUGCCAAUCGACAUGGUCCUGCAAAUGCUGGCAGCCCUCCAUCUGUUGAUCCAGUAAGUGUUUUUGUGCUGUUGUAGUUCUUUUGCCCUCAUGCUUCUUUUAUCUCUCUGCGAUGUGUGCCAUUCUUAAUUCCACAGCGAGUGAUUCUGCCUUUUUCUGUUGCAAAUUCUAUUUUUGUUUUACUAUCAUGCUUUGUCGAUUGGUGCUUUAUUUAUGUUUUUUUCAAUUUGAUAGGGCACCUCUUUUAAAGAGACAGUUGUUAGCCAAAUUGAAUGUGCGGAUCAACUGAUUUGUUCUGACGCUUCUAAGAUUGCAGGAUUUGUUAAUGAAGCAUGCCUACCAGGUAUUGUCGAUGAUAUUUCAUACAAGUUAGAAUCAAAAUCUGUCCGUGAUCGGGGUUUUACACCGGGCAUCAAUCUUCAAUAUGUUCCUUCUGGUUCAUCGCCACGUGGUCUAGAAGAAUCCAUGGCAAUCCAUUCUGACAAUUUUGCUUCUAAAACUGCACGUACUGUGUUGUGCUUUAUAUUUUUUUAUUUGCAAUGUUCCAACUCUAUCAAAAAUUCUUAAUUUGCAUUUCCAUCAAAUGUUAUUUGCAUCUCUACAACCGUUGCAAUUUAAAUGUACGCAUUCUGCAAGUGCUAUCCUAUUUAAUAUUAAUUGCAAUUUUGCAAUCACUAUCGCUGUUAUUUUAUCUUCUUUCUUUGUUUGUGUUUUUUGUUCUAUGCAAGAUGAAACUUUUGUUGUUGAUUAUGCAGCCACUUUGCCUUCUUUAAUUUCAGAUGCUUUGGAAGUUGCUUGUUCUUAUGUUUUUACUGGAUAAUGUCAAAAAAAAAAAAUCAUAUGAUACAAAGGUGUAUUCUAGUUGUCAUGAUUGGUUAAUUUAUGCGUACUUAUCCUUUCUUUAGAAGGCCAGCCUUCUUUUGUUCCGAUUUUUGUUAAAUGCACUCUAACAUGGUUAUCAAUAUGGCUUUUGAUUUCUUGGUUAGAUUUUAAUGCUACAAAACCCGAGCCUGAGGAUGAUUCGAAGUUAGAUGCCCAGCCUGCCAUACAUGCCCCAUCUGUCACUGUUGCUAUCGAGGUAAACGUAUCAUAUAUGGGAAAUACUGAUUUAAAUUUUGGCAAAGCAUGCAAUGGUAAUGUUCUUGCCAUAUUGACGUUAUAAAUUUUUAAUUUUCAACAUUGUCAAUCGUCGAAAUUCGUAAUUGCACUUCAGUUGAAUUUUAUUUGCAUCUCUACUACUAUUGCAAUUCACGUCUAUGCAUUAUGCAAUUGAUAGCCUCUGUAAUAUCAAUUGCAAUCUCGCAAUCUCUAUGCCUUCUAAUAUCUCUUAUCUAUCUUUUUUCUGCUUUUCAAUCUUUUUUGGAACAUGAAGUCCCUGCUGCUGAUUGUGCAGCCUGACUGUUGUAUUUAAGUUCAGGUGCUUCGAAUGCUUCUUCUUCUGAACUUUUUAAGGGCUCUCCUACUUGUUAUAUCAAAAGUACUAAUUGUUAAUCUAGUGUAUGGAAGCAGCUUUCUUGUGUCUGAUCUUUCAAUGCAAUUUUAACAUGGGUUCUCUGUGCCGUUAUGAUUUCUUUUGUACAUUCCGAUGCUAAAAAUUCAUUACCUGUGAUUGGUUUGAGGUCAUCUGCCCAACAUGCCAUUUUUUGCCCCAUCUGUCACUGCUGUUGCAGAGGGAAAUGUAUCAUCUAUGGAAACUACGGAUUUAAACACCGACAAACCAUCCAAUGUCUUUAUUUGAAGAUGAAGCCCCUGCUGUUGAUUUCGCAGCCCCAUAGCAGUCUUUAAGUUCAGGUGCUUUGAACACUGCUUCUUCUGAACUUUCACUAGAAAAUGUCAGUAAAUUUUCUUACAGUUCAAAGGGGUACUAUACUUGUGAUAACAAAGAUCUUAAUGCUAAAAACUCGGACUGCAAGAAUGAUUCCAAGUUAUCUGAACAACCUGUUAUAUCUGUGCCAUCUGGCCUAUGCUGCCGAUUUAAAUAUCGGCAACCAUGCAAUGGAAAAACGAUCUUAGCCACCCCUCCCCCCACGGCCCUACAAUUUGAUUUAGAAGGUCACAAUAACCAAGAUAAGCUCAAUGUUUGUCCUUUAUUUAUGUUUUUACGGAAAAUCUAUUUACAUCGCACUUACUUUCAAAUCAACCGAGAGAAGCUCCAUGUAAGCCCCUUCUCUCUACUUUUCAGGAAUUUAAUUAAACUGCACUCCUCCACUUGUUGCAACAGCAGCUAUUUCAAACUGCAAUUGCAUAUAUUAGCUUGCUAUAUAUGUCCUCUUUUGUAUUCUAUUGUUUAUGGAACCUAUUUAUUUGCACAGCCUUUUCAAUUACACGCACUCCAUUUACUUUUGCAAUUGGUAGUCUUUUAAGUUGCAAUUUGCAAAUUGAAUGUCGUAAAACCUGUUUGAUUAAAUGCAAUUCAAUUACACUCCAUUGAUCUCAAUUUUUUUAUGAAGUAACUGGUAAAAUUGCGGUAUAUAGAGGCUUUAGUAGCCCAGCCAUCUUAAUAUGUUCUUUUGUUUGUGCAUGGCCAUGUUAGUUUUCUCUCAACUUUUGGCUAAAUUCCCUGAUUCAAUAGCUGGUUGUUCCAAUUGUGCAUGCCUCUGCCUUCUAGUGGAAGUGGCAUCUGUUCUUCAUCUCUGAAAAUAGUGGUAACACUCAAAACAUUAACACCUAUGGAAUUGUGUCCCUUGCUUUGUUCACGUGUCUUCUGAUUUCGGGAGUUACUAAAACGGGGGUCGUGCUGGGAGAGCAAGGCUCGAAGGCAAGGGGGGAUAAGAGAAUUGCGAAGACAAACCUUCAUGCAUGUGGAUUCAGUCCAUACUCUUCAUCAACUUUUUUGCCCCUGUAUCUUGGGUUCUGAUCUGGGUGGUUUCGAUCAUCCGACUGGUGUGUUUUUAUCAGUUAGAUUUGAUCGGCCGAACGGCGGCGGGGUUUUCUUAAUCCAAUUGCACUGAGUUUUAAUUGUAGCUGCACUUCGACUACUGUUGCAACUGAGUGGGGUCAAGUGUGCAACUGCAAUUUUUUAUUUUGGUUUUUCCAUUCUUUUGGUUUUGAUACAUUUUUUCACCGGCUGCACUUGAACCAAUUGCAGUAUUUUCUUUUUUGCAAUUCUACCUACCCAAGGUGCAAUUGCAAGGAUUUAAGCUUCUGUUUUUAGGAACCUUCUUUAUGGUCUCUUCUUUAUGUGUAUACAAGCCCAGGCAGUGUAUAAUACAUAUAGACACAAAGCCCAGGCCAGUACCCAGCCCCAGUACAUAAUAGGAACAAACGUUCUAAAUUUCUGGAGGGAAAACACAAAAGUCUUGGUUUUAUUUCUGUCCAUUAGAUGUAUGAUGUGGGGCUUAGAAAAAUGUGACUGGUUUAUGUUCCAAAACCAGGCGCCUGGUUUGGAAACCAAAACCAGGCGCCUAGGGGAUAGACAGACCCCAGGCCCUGCUGGCUGUUCUGGUUCGGCACUCUGCAUCUUCUUAUAUUUUCCUGAUAUUCAGCUACCUGUACUCUGAGCUUGAUUUGCUCUAUUUCUCUCAUGCCACCAGAUCCAUAGCAGUACACACUUCUUCCGUUCUUCGUACAUGUAUUCUCAUCCAGUUCAAGAUUUUUUUUUUGGGUAAAAGGGAUUUUCCUGGCGCGCCACAUGUACCACACUGGCAAAUGUGAGCUGCAAAUGUUGAACCUUUUUUUUCGGGUGUGAUCUGACAUUUUUUUUUCGGGUAAAGGGAUUUGCAAGUCGUAGAAGUGUCUGCAGGGGCGGGUAUGAUCCUAAGUCAAAGGCACAACAGGGACGUCUUCAGUUUCCAGCUCACAGAUAGAGCAAAUGCCAGUCACGCCCAUGCUCCGACAUCGCUUAUUUUCUUCAGUGGCCAAGGCAUUGCUGGCUGCCUUCCACGCGAAAACCUUGACCUUUGGAGGCGCACCACGCUUCCAAAUCCUAUCCCAGCACGGAUCAGACCCGUCUGGACGAGCACUCGAUGCCCCACGAGCGGAAAAUUGUUGAACUGAAUCAACACCCAAGUUGUAUGCGCUUCUAACAGUGAAGAUUCCAGAUUUCUCCGGCUGCCAAGUAAGUCCGGGGCAUCAUGAGGGGACGUGCGGAUCCGCAGAAUAGCAUCACAAUCCACCGGGAGAAAUGUUUGUCGCACCAGUGUCUGAUUCCAAGCAUCGUUCUCAUCCAGGAGGUCAGAAACCCACCUGAUCCUGCACCUCCCAAGAUUAGUGACAGGCCGAAGAGAAAGAAACUCCCUUUGUUCCUCUAAAAAUGUUGUAGUAUUAGUUUUCAUUAAGACAAGACUUCAACCACAAAUAUUUCAAAGUGAAAGGUUGGUUGAAUAAGUGGUGAACUCUCGCAUAGUGCAUUGCAUUGCAUAUUUGCAUUCAUUCUGUUUAUUAAAACAAUAUUUCCAUCUCCUGGGUUCCAUUUGGUAAUAGUUUCAUAGUUCAAAUUUUAGCUUUUCUUCAGCCUGAAUCCAGUGGUGAUAGCUUAGCAUGAAUGAAUGGUUUGGUACAAUAUGGUUGCAAGUUAACUGCUCAGAGAGAUGUUCCUGGCCAAGUUCAAAAUUCUUGCUCAAUCCAUUGUAUUAUCCUGAGACAUUUUUUUUUGUUUCGUUAUCUUUGCCUUGAUGCUGAUUGAAAAUUAGGAAGUUUUCACUUGAGGACAAGCAAAAAUUCAGAUGUGGGGGGAUGAUCAGCAUCAUUAUUUAACUGUUAAUCACUCAUUUUAUGAAGCUAAACUCCCACUUUGUGCUUAAUUGAGCCCUUAAUUAAUGCUUAACACAUGACUAACUCUUGAGCAUAUUUACAUGCUUAGUGUAAUUAUUGCAGAUCUGUGCGUCUAGGCACAAAUUUUUCAUCUUGGAGGGAGGAAAUCAGAAGAAAGCCAAUUAAAUCAUCACCUGCAAGUCCCUAAAGGAUCUUCUUGGGCAGAAUUGUGACUAGUUGAAGGGGCUUCUUGCAAAAAGCCCAACCACUCCGUGGAACCAGAAGGAGAAAGGAGAAGAGGAGAAGAGAAAAGAGGAGAGAUGGAAGCCAUGGAUGGGGAGGAAGCUCUGUGCUCGUGGAAUUGAAGCCCUGAAGAUCUGUUUCUUCCCUGUCUUCUUCUUGCUUCUUCUUCUCAAGCAAAUCGGUGACAAGCUCACAAUCUUCCUUGUCUAGCUCUUUCCUUCCUCCAGGAAACAGUGCUUAGAUCUGUUGUUAUUGUGCUGAAUUCUGUGUGAAUUGUUGAGCUAGUUCAAGUUCUUGUUGUUAAAUUUAGUGAAAUUCAGUUAAGUAUUCUAGUUUCAGUUGAUGGGCUGUCAGGUUUAGAUUCAAAGUAAUUCCUCUCUGAUC